AGAGUUUGAUCCUGGCUCAGGACGAACGCUGGCGGCGUGCUUAACACAUGCAGGUCGAACGGGAAGGCCCUUUCGGGGGUACACGAGUGGCGAACGGGUGAGUAACACGUGAGCAACCUGCCCUUGACUCUGGAAUAACAGUUGGAAACAGCUGCUAAUACUGGAUAUUCAUCGUCUCCUUCCUGGGGGGUGGUGGAAAGCUCCGGCGGUCAGGGAUGGGCUCGCGGCCUAUCAGCUUGUUGGUGAGGUAAUGGCUCACCAAGGCUUCGACGGGUAGCCGGCCUGAGAGGGCGACCGGCCACACUGGGACUGAGAUACGGCCCGACUCCUACGGGAGGCAGCAGUGGGGAAUAUUGCACAAUGGGCGCAAGCCUGAUGCAACAACGCCGCGUGCGGGAUGACGGCCUUCGGGUUGUAAACCGCUUUCAGUAUGGACGAAGGGUGACUGACGGUACCUACAGAAGAAGGACCGGCUAACUACGUGCCACNGNCCGCGAUGAUACGUAGGGUCCGAGCGUUGUCCGGAAUUAUUGGGCGUAAAGGGCUUGUAGGCGGUCCGUCGCGUCAGAAGUGAAAACUCAGGGCUUAACCCUGAGCCUGCUUUUGAUACGGGCGGACUAGAGGGAUGCAGGGGAGAACGGAAUUCCUGGUGGAGCGGUGGAAUGCGCAGAUAUCAGGAGGAACACCGGUGGCGAAGGCGGUUCUCUGGGCAUUACCUGACGCUGAGAAGCGAAAGCGUGGGGAGCAAACAGGCUUAGAUACCCUGGUAGUCCACGCCGUAAACGGUGGGCACUAGGUGUGGGGGACAUUCCACGUUCUCCGUGCCGAAGCUAACGCAUUAAGUGCCCCGCCUGGGAGUACGGCCGCAAGGCUAAACUCAAGGAAUUGACGGGGCCCGCACAGCGGCGAGCAUGCGAUUAUCGAUGC
Molecule: ribosomal RNA, 927 nt
Filed under: uncultured Actinomycetes bacterium
Lineage: Bacteria; Bacillati; Actinomycetota; Actinomycetes
Description: bacterial SSU rRNA
Rfam family: Bacterial small subunit ribosomal RNA
Source: RNAcentral